This 550-nucleotide ribosomal RNA is filed under the name uncultured compost bacterium. Its description in RNAcentral is "bacterial SSU rRNA". It matches the Rfam family "Bacterial small subunit ribosomal RNA", at positions 355 to 897 of the family's 1533-position model. The record is from RNAcentral.
UGGGGAAUAUUGGACAAUGGGGGCAACCCUGAUCCAGCCAUGCCGCGUGUGUGAAGAAGGCCUUUUGGUUGUAAAGCACUUUAAGCAGUGAAGAAGACUCCAUGGUUAAUACCCAUGGACGAUGACAUUAGCUGCAGAAUAAGCACCGGCUAACUCUGUGCCAGCAGCCGCGGUAAUACAGAGGGUGCAAGCGUUAAUCGGAAUUACUGGGCGUAAAGCGAGCGUAGGUGGCUUGAUAAGUCAGAUGUGAAAUCCCCGGGCUUAACCUGGGAACUGCAUCUGAUACUGUUAGGCUAGAAUAGGUGAGAGGAAGGUAGAAUUCCAGGUGUAGCGGUGAAAUGCGUAGAGAUCUGGAGGAAUACCGAUGGCGAAGGCAGCCUUCUGGCAUCAUAUUGACACUGAGGUUCGAAAGCGUGGGUAGCAAACAGGAUUAGAUACCCUGGUAGUCCACGCCGUAAACGAUGUCUACUAGUCGUUGGGUCCCUUGAGGACUUAGUGACGCAGCUAACGCAAUAAGUAGACCGCCUGGGGAGUACGGCCGCAAGGUUAA